RNAcentral lists this ribosomal RNA (468 nucleotides) under uncultured bacterium. RNAcentral's name for it is "partial 16S ribosomal RNA". It matches the Rfam family "Bacterial small subunit ribosomal RNA", at positions 28 to 507 of the family's 1533-position model. The record is from RNAcentral.
GACGAACGCUGGCGGCGUGCUUAACACAUGCAAGUCGAACGGAAAGGCCCUGCGCUUGUGGGGUGCUCGAUUGGCGAACGGGUGAGUAACACGUGAGUAACCUGCCCUUGACUUUGUGAUAACUUCAGGAAACUGGGGCGAAUACCGGAUAGGAGCUCCUGCUGCAUGGUGGGGGUUGGAAAGUUUCGGCGGUUGGGGAUGGACUCGCUGCUUAUCAGCUGGUUGGUGGGGUAGUGGCUUACCAAGCCUUUGACGGGUAGCCGGCCUGAGAGGGUGACCGGCCACCAUGGGCCUGCGGUACGGCGCAGACGCCUACGGGCGGCAGCAGUGGGGAAUCUUGCACAAUGGGCGGAAGCCUGAUGCAGCAACGCCGCGUGCGGGAUGCUGGCCUUCGGGUUGUAAACCGCUUUCGCCUGUGACGAAGAGUGCGUGACGGUAAUGAGUAAAGAAGCACCGGCUAACUACGUG